This is a non-coding RNA of Drosophila melanogaster (fruit fly), 1251 nucleotides long. The record is from Ensembl. NCBI's taxonomy places the organism in Eukaryota, Metazoa, Arthropoda, Insecta, Diptera, Drosophilidae.
CCUCGUUAAGCAGAUAUAAGAAAUUACACUCAAAGUCAUCUUUGGAGGCAAUCAUUUGGCCACUGCGAUCAAGUUUUUGGUAACGACUUCCGGAUUUGAUGCGCCCAAUUGCAGGAACUGUACCGCCAUCGUCCGCUGUUUUGAAGGACCCUCUGCCACGCCCCUAUCCACCAUUUCCCGGCUUACGCCCUUAAGUCUGCAAAAUUCUGAUGCACAGCGGAGUGGAAGCCACUUUGAGUGACGACAAGUGGGGACAAGUCAACAAUGUCGAGAUGCCAAGUGGGAGGGUUUCUCCUGCCACCUUUGUCAUUGCCUUCCUUCUCAUUUUGGUCGUUGUGGUGAAGGAAUGGGGAUCCCCGACAGACCGAUGGAGUCAUUGCACUUCGUUUCCGUUGCACGAAAUGUUUCAAUUUGCUGGCGCAGCGCGCAAAUUAGAAACGAAAUAAAACCGAGAAUCCUUUUGCAGAAUGCCCCGUGCCCUUAUGAACUCUCAUCCGAGUGUCAGAGUACCAGGCAUAACGCGGUGCAAAUGUCUCGUCUCGUUGCAAAUGGAUUCGGAUGGCCUCUCCUCUGGAAGUACUCUUUUCGGACCGAAAACUUUGCCGGUCUCACGGGAACUGAAACGAGCUAAACAGUACUGAACUGAACAGGACAGUACAGAUAUUUCCAUCCGGCCCCAUAAGUCCAGCUCUCGUUGUCAGAACUCAUUCGAUGGCACUUUCCGAGUGCAACUUUCAAAUGCGUUUAAUAUUUAAAUGGCGCAACGAGAAUGGCAAUGGCCGAAUUUGAGUUAGCCCUCUUCCUUUGCGUCGUCAUCGGGUUUUCUGGAGGAGAUGCCCGGCGGCCAGGACGGACGAGCUAUCCAACAGAAGGCCCAGAGCCAGAGCCACCACCACACAUGCAAAUUUGCUUUGAAAUUUCGCUUGAGGAGUGCACUGCGAAAGAACUGUAGUCAAAGCGUAACUAAAAGCUAUAAAAAUCUAAAAAUCUUUCCAACAAAAUAUUGCUAUCCAUACUAAUAAUAGCAGGCAAUAAUGUUAAAUUUCGUGGUUAGGAAUAACGAUGCGUAUGAGUAUGAUUUAUAUGCGUUCUUUCAGUACCCGAAAUUGUUUAACUUAAACGUGACAAAUGCAUAUUUUAAAAUUUAAUAUAAGUUCAAUUUUAUGAAAGUUCUACGAUUUGGUUUAGUCUAGGUUGUUUAGGAUGUUUAGAGUAACGGAAACAUUACUCAUACGCAUCGUUGGACUGGCU